RNAcentral lists this ribosomal RNA (439 nucleotides) under uncultured Streptococcus sp. Its description in RNAcentral is "bacterial SSU rRNA". It matches the Rfam family "Bacterial small subunit ribosomal RNA", at positions 943 to 1382 of the family's 1533-position model. Lineage: Bacteria; Bacillati; Bacillota; Bacilli; Lactobacillales; Streptococcaceae. The record is from RNAcentral.
GGUUAAUUCGACGCAACGCGAAGAACCUUACCUAGGCUUGACAGUCUGGGGAAUCCAUGGAAACAUGGGAGUGCGGAGCAAUCCGAGCCCAAGACAGGUGCUGCAUGGCUGUCGUCAGCUCGUGUCGUGAGAUGUUGGGUUAAGUCCCGCAACGAGCGCAACCCUUGUCUCUAGUUGCCAUCAUUCAGUUGGGCUACUCUAGAGAGACUGCCGGUGAUAAACCGGAGGAAGUGGGAUGACGUCAAAUCAUCAUGCCCCUUAUGACCUGGGCUACACACGUGCUACAAUGGUUGGUACAACGAGUUGCGAGUCGGUGACGGCGAGCUAAUCUCUUAAAGCCAAUCUCAGUUCGGAUUGUAGGCUGCAACUCGCCUACAUGAAGUCGGAAUCGCUAGUAAUCGCGGAUCAGCACGCCGCGGUGAAUACGUUCCCGGGCCUU